AACGACUCUCGGCAACGGAUAUCUCGGCUCUCGCAUCGAUGAAGAACGUAGCGAAAUGCGAUACUUGGUGUGAAUUGCAGAAUCCCGUGAACCAUCGAGUCUUUGAACGCAAGUUGCGCCCGAUGCCUUCGGGCUGAGGGCACGUCUGCCUGGGUGUCACUC
This 162-nucleotide ribosomal RNA is filed under the name Comesperma aphyllum. Its description in RNAcentral is "5.8S ribosomal RNA". It matches the Rfam family "5.8S ribosomal RNA". From Rfam's summary of the family: 5.8S ribosomal RNA (5.8S rRNA) is a component of the large subunit of the eukaryotic ribosome. It is transcribed by RNA polymerase I as part of the 45S precursor that also contains 18S and 28S rRNA. Functionally, it is thought that 5.8S rRNA may be involved in ribosome translocation. The record is from RNAcentral. Lineage: Eukaryota; Viridiplantae; Streptophyta; Magnoliopsida; Fabales; Polygalaceae.